CCUACGGGAGGCAGCAGUGGGGAAUAUUGCACAAUGGGGAAAACCCUGAUGCAGCGACGCCGCGUGAGUGAAGAAGUAUUUAGGUACGUAAAGCCUUAUCAGCAGGGAAGAAAAUGACGGUACCUGACUAAGAAGCCACGGCUAACUACGUGCCAGCAGCCGCGGUAAUAAGUCGGGGGCAAGCGUUAUCCGGAUUUACUGGGGGUAAAGGGAGCGUCGACGGCAGCGCAAGUCUGGAGUGAAAUGUCAUGGCUUAACCAUGGAAGUGCUUUGGAAACUGGGCAGCUGGAGUGCAGGAGAGGUAAGCGGAAUUCGUAGUGUAGCGGUGAAAUGCGUAGAUAUUAGGAGGAACACCAGUGGCGAAGGCGGCUUACUGGACUGUAACUGACGUUGAGGCUCGAAAGCGUGGGGAGCAAACAGGAUUAGAUACCCUAGUAGUC
RNAcentral lists this ribosomal RNA (440 nucleotides) under uncultured bacterium. Its description in RNAcentral is "partial 16S ribosomal RNA". It matches the Rfam family "Bacterial small subunit ribosomal RNA", at positions 338 to 795 of the family's 1533-position model. The record is from RNAcentral.